This 469-nucleotide ribosomal RNA is filed under the name uncultured bacterium. RNAcentral's name for it is "partial 16S ribosomal RNA". It matches the Rfam family "Bacterial small subunit ribosomal RNA", at positions 28 to 507 of the family's 1533-position model. The record is from RNAcentral.
GACGAACGCUGGCGGCGUGCUUAACACAUGCAAGUCGAACGGUGAAGCGAGUGCUUGCACUCGUGGACCAGUGGCGAACGGGUGAGUAACACGUGAGUAACCUGCCCAUCACUCUGGGAUAAGCACUGGAAACGGUGUCUAAUACUGGAUACGACCAACCCUUGCAUGGGGUGUUGGUGGAAAGAUUUAUCGGUGAUGGAUGGACUCGCGGCCUAUCAGCUUGUUGGCGGGGUAAUGGCCCACCAAGGCGACGACGGGUAGCCGGCCUGAGAGGGUGACCGGCCACACUGGGACUGAGACACGGCCCAGACUCCUACGGGAGGCAGCAGUGGGGAAUAUUGCACAAUGGGCGAAAGCCUGAUGCAGCGACGCCGCGUGAGGGAUGACGGCCUUCGGGUUGUAAACCUCUUUCAGCAGGGAAGAAGCGAAAGUGACGGUACCUGCAGAAGAAGCACCGGCUAACUACGUG